RNAcentral lists this ribosomal RNA (434 nucleotides) under uncultured Clostridium sp. Its description in RNAcentral is "partial 16S ribosomal RNA". It matches the Rfam family "Bacterial small subunit ribosomal RNA", at positions 341 to 792 of the family's 1533-position model. The record is from RNAcentral. Lineage: Bacteria; Bacillati; Bacillota; Clostridia; Eubacteriales; Clostridiaceae.
ACGGAAGGCAGCAGUGGGGAAUAUUGGACAAUGGGGGCAACCCUGAUCCAGCGACGCCGCGUGAGUGAAGAAGUGUUUCGACAUGUAAAGCUCUAUCAGCAAGGAAGAAAAUGACGGUACUUGACUAAGAAGCCCCGGCUAACUACGUGCCAGCAGCCGCGGUAAUACGUAGGGGGCAAGCGUUAUCCGGAUUUACUGGGUGUAAAGGGAGCGUAGACGGUGAGGCAAGUCUGAAGUGAAAACCCGCAGCUCAACUGCGGGACUGCUUUGGAAACUGUCACACUAGAGUGCAGGAGGGGUAAGCGGAAUUCCUAGUGUAGCGGUGAAAUGCGUAGAUAUUAGGAGGAACACCGGAGGCGAAGGCGGCUUACUGGACUGUAACUGACGUUGAGGCUCGAAAGCGUGGGGAGCAAACAGGAUUAGAUACCCUGGUA